GUUGGUAGUGGUGGUGAUGGUUAUAAUAAUAUUUGAAAUAUGAAAAUACAUGAAGAGUGGCUAAUGAUUUCAUUAUUUUAGUAUCAAUUUUAUGGUUGAGAAGAAUUCAUAUAUCAAUAAAAAAAAAGGUUUUAUCUUUCUUUGUACGAAUUCAUUAUUGGAUUAUCUAUUGAUUGCUUUAACAUCUGUGCAGAUGGAUGGUUCUUUGAGAGUCGUGUAGGUG
RNAcentral lists this long non-coding RNA (223 nucleotides) under Elaeis guineensis (African oil palm). Its description in RNAcentral is "long non-coding RNA (EGUI_LNC028864)". Lineage: Eukaryota; Viridiplantae; Streptophyta; Magnoliopsida; Arecales; Arecaceae. The record is from RNAcentral.